UGACAGUACUCCUACGGGGAGGCAGCAGUGGGGGAAUAUUGCACAAUGGGCGCAAGCCUGAUGCAGCCAUGCCGCGUGUGUGAAGAAGGCCUUCGGGUUGUAAAGCACUUUCAGUCGUGAGGAAGGUAGUGUAGUUAAUAGCUGCAUUAUUUGACGUUAGCGACAGAAGAAGCACCGGCUAACUCCGUGCCAGCAGCCGCGGUAAUACGGAGGGUGCGAGCGUUAAUCGGAAUUACUGGGCGUAAAGCGCAUGCAGGUGGUUUGUUAAGUCAGAUGUGAAAGCCCGGGGCUCAACCUCGGAAUAGCAUUUGAAACUGGCAGACUAGAGUACUGUAGAGGGGGGUAGGAAUUUCAGGUGUAGCGGUGAAAUGCGUAGAGAUCUGAAGGAAUACCGGUGGCGAAGGCGGCCCCCUCGGACAGAUACUGACACUCAGAUGCGAAAGCGUGGGGAGCAAACAGGAUUAGAUACCCUGGUAG
This 477-nucleotide ribosomal RNA is filed under the name uncultured bacterium. RNAcentral's name for it is "bacterial SSU rRNA". It matches the Rfam family "Bacterial small subunit ribosomal RNA", at positions 328 to 793 of the family's 1533-position model. The record is from RNAcentral.